ACCAUCUCAAGAUCGGAUCUGGAGAGUUUCCAUUACUCUACCAGUCUUGGCUAAGGGAGGGAGAGUCAAGCAGAGGCAGACCCAUUCCAUUCCUAGCUUCGGCAGUGGCUAGAGAGCGGAAGACAAUCUGCUACAAGU
This 138-nucleotide small nucleolar RNA is filed under the name Ornithorhynchus anatinus (platypus). Lineage: Eukaryota; Metazoa; Chordata; Mammalia; Monotremata; Ornithorhynchidae. The record is from RNAcentral.